CUAGCCGUAAACGGUGUGCACUUGGUGUGGGAGGAUUUAUCCCCUUCCGUGCCGUAGCUAACGCGUUAAGUGCACCGCCUGGGGAGUACGGCCGCAAGGCUAAAACUCAAAGAAAUUGACGGGGGCCCGCACAAGCGGUGGAGCAUGUGGCUUAAUUCGAUGCAACGCGAAGAACCUUACCAAGGCUUGACAUGCAAUUGCACGACCAAUGAAAGUUGGUCUCCUUCGAGGGUAUUGCACAGGUGC
Molecule: ribosomal RNA, 246 nt
Filed under: uncultured bacterium
Lineage: Bacteria
Description: partial 16S ribosomal RNA
Rfam family: Bacterial small subunit ribosomal RNA
Source: RNAcentral